RNAcentral lists this long non-coding RNA (235 nucleotides) under Carica papaya (papaya). RNAcentral's name for it is "long non-coding RNA (CPAP_LNC004397)". Lineage: Eukaryota; Viridiplantae; Streptophyta; Magnoliopsida; Brassicales; Caricaceae. The record is from RNAcentral.
UAAAAAUACCCUGAAAACCUAAAAUCGGUGUUGAAAAUUCCUUAUGGCCCAUUUUAGGGUUCUGGCACGGCACCGCUGCUGUACUCUGGUGUCGGCUUUACCCUCCAUAACGGCAGUUCGCCUCGGCCUGGUCGAUUUUGACCAGUUUUAUCCAAUUUUACACAUAUCCAUGCGGAAGAACACGUUAGGGAGUCUCGAUUGGCCAGAAAAUCAUAAAAAACUAAACCUACCGGUU